GGUGGUGUAGAGAGAACCCCUAAAACUAAAAGAGUAAAAAAAUUAAAAAGGAUAAAAAAGGUAAAAGAAAGGUUAGUUUUGUAAUAAAAGAAAAAUUGAAGAAAGUUGGGGAAGUGGAGGAAGAAAAUGGGGAGGUGGAGGGAGCAACACUCUUAAGUUUAGGCUCGAUCCACAGAAACCUACCCUAAUAUUAAGUUCAAGUCCUCAACAAACAAAUCUAUUGGAAGUCCUGCUAUAAUCAGGGUCAUAAUUUUGGCAAUUGCUUCCUUCAUCCAACAAUUACUAACUGCACCUCCACGAUAUUUGAAAAUGGCUUCAACGUUCUUCAUCCACCACAUCACUAAUAUCACGGCUUUCAUCACCACAGCCAUUGUACCAUUGGUGCGGAGGAAGAAAAAGGAAGAGGGAAUACUGCAAAAGAAGAGAAAAAAAAACACUUGUUCUAAUUUUUUAAAUAUUUUCUGAAAAUCCCAUUCUGAAAAGUCUUUGCUAGAACGCAUUUCAUACAUUCCGAAAAUCAUCUUCUGAAAAUUUCAUUUCAGAAAUACUAUUUCGAAUAUUUCGGAAAAUAUGUUCUGAAAAGUUUUUGGAAUAUGUAAUCCAGAAAUCAUUUUUCUGAAAGGUAAAACGGAC
RNAcentral lists this long non-coding RNA (633 nucleotides) under Vigna radiata. RNAcentral's name for it is "long non-coding RNA (VRAD_LNC002328)". Lineage: Eukaryota; Viridiplantae; Streptophyta; Magnoliopsida; Fabales; Fabaceae. The record is from RNAcentral.